GAUGAAGAACGUAGCGAAAUGCGAUACGUAAUGUGAAUUGCAGAAUUCAGUGAAUCAUCGAAUCUUUGAACGCAUAUUGCGCUCUCUGGUAUUCCGGAGAGCAUGCUUGUUUGAGUAUCAGUAAACACCUCAACUUCCAUAUCCUUUUUUGAAAUGGGAGUUGGACUUGAGUGAUCCCAACGCUUUUCCUCACCGAAAAGUGGCGGGUUACUUGAAAUGCAGGUGCAGCUGGACUUUUCUCUGAGCUAUAAGCAUAUCUAUUUAGUCUGCCUAAAAAACAGAUUAUUACCUUUGCUGCAGCUAACAUAAAGGAGAUUAGUUCUUGUGCUGACUGAUGCAGGAUUCACAAAGACAGCUUCGGCCGACUUUGUAAACUCGAUCUCAAAUCAAGUAAGACUACCCGCUGAACUUAAGCAUAUCAAUAAGCGGAGGA
This 433-nucleotide unclassified non-coding RNA is filed under the name soil metagenome. Its description in RNAcentral is "partial contains 5.8S ribosomal RNA, internal transcribed spacer 2, and large subunit ribosomal RNA". The stretch from base 1 to 120 matches the Rfam family "5.8S ribosomal RNA", at positions 35 to 154 of the family's 154-position model. The record is from RNAcentral.